CAAUGGGCGGAAGCCUGAUGCAGCGACGCCGCGUGAGGGAUGACGGCCUUCGGGUUGUAAACCUCUUUCAGCAGGGAAGAAGCGCAAGUGACGGUACCUGCAGAAGAAGCGCCGGCUAACUACGUGCCAGCAGCCGCGGUAAUACGUAGGGCGCAAGCGUUGUCCGGAAUUAUUGGGCGUAAAGAGCUCGUAGGCGGCUUGUCACGUCGGGUGUGAAAGCCCGGGGCUUAACCCCGGGUCUGCAUUCGAUACGGGCUGGCUGGAGUGUGGUAGGGGAGAUCGGAAUUCCUGGUGUAGCGGUGAAAUGCGCAGAUAUCAGGAGGAACACCGGUGGCGAAGGCGGAUCUCUGGGCCAUUACUGACGCUGAGGAGCGAAAGCGUGGGGAGCGAACAGGAUUAGAUACCCUGGUAGUCCACGCCGUAAACGGUGGGAACUAGGUGUUGGCGACAUUCCACGUCGUCGGUGCCGCAGCUAACGCAUUAAGUUCCCCGCCUGGGGAGUAC
RNAcentral lists this ribosomal RNA (504 nucleotides) under COS-degrading bacterium THI408. RNAcentral's name for it is "bacterial SSU rRNA". It matches the Rfam family "Bacterial small subunit ribosomal RNA", at positions 369 to 883 of the family's 1533-position model. The record is from RNAcentral.